RNAcentral lists this ribosomal RNA (468 nucleotides) under uncultured bacterium. Its description in RNAcentral is "partial 16S ribosomal RNA". It matches the Rfam family "Bacterial small subunit ribosomal RNA", at positions 28 to 507 of the family's 1533-position model. The record is from RNAcentral.
GACGAACGCUGGCGGCGUGCUUAACACAUGCAAGUCGAACGGAAAGGCCCUGCUUUUGUGGGGUGCUCGAGUGGCGAACGGGUGAGUAACACGUGAGUAACCUGCCCUUGACUUUGGGAUAACUUCAGGAAACUGGGGCUAAUACCGGAUAGGAGCUCCUGCUGCAUGGUGGGGGUUGGAAAGUUUCGGCGGUUGGGGAUGGACUCGCGGCUUAUCAGCUUGUUGGUGGGGUAGUGGCUUACCAAGGCUUUGACGGGUAGCCGGCCUGAGAGGGUGACCGGCCACAUUGGGACUGAGAUACGGACCAGACUCCUACGGGAGGCAGCAGUGGGGAGUAUUGCACAAUGGGCGGAAGCCUGAUGCAGCAACGCCGCGUGCGGGAUGCCGGCCUUCGGGUUGUAAACCGCUUUCGCCUGUGACGAAGCGUGAGUGACGGUAAUGAGUAAAGAAGCACCGGCUAACUACGUG